RNAcentral lists this ribosomal RNA (252 nucleotides) under uncultured bacterium. RNAcentral describes it as "partial 16S ribosomal RNA". It matches the Rfam family "Bacterial small subunit ribosomal RNA", at positions 524 to 776 of the family's 1533-position model. The record is from RNAcentral.
UACGGAGGAUGCGAGCGUUAUCCGGAUUUAUUGGGUUUAAAGGGUGCGUAGGCGGGCUUUUAAGUCAGCGGUAAAAAUUCGGGGCUCAACCCCGUCCGGCCGUUGAAACUGGGGGUCUUGAGUGGGCGAGAAGAAGGCGGAAUGCGUGGUGUAGCGGUGAAAUGCAUAGAUAUCACGCAGAACCCCGAUUGCGAAGGCAGCAUACCGGUGCACAACUGACGCUCAGGCACGAAAGCGUGGGUAUCGAACAGG